GUUGAGAGAAGGAGAGAGAGAGAGAGACACGGAUUGGCAGUCGGUCGGCGACUAUUUGUGCAAGGAAAGAAACCUGGCUUCUUUCCUCUAACCAAGUCACACUUCCCAGGAACCAUUUACAGCAAUCAGUUCUGUAGGAUAAUAGAAGCAUUAGGACUGUGACCUGGAGUGGAACCUGUGUUCCUACACCUAAGGUCCUCGACCACAUGUGCAUAUAACUGGCAAGUUCAAUGAAGAUUUGGCAUUGCACCAUUUGAUGAAAGCAGAAAAAUUAGGUUGCCAAUUACAUAUGUGCCCCUUAUGUGCACUGAAUUCCCACUGAAUGAAGUGAUGAGCCAAAUUAGAAAUCCUUCAGUAAUGGUACCUAAAAAGUGAAAUUAGUGUCUAGGGAAGCAGAAAUCCUGCCCGGUACCAGAACCACAGGGUCUGUUCAUGUUCUUCCUCUGUGAAGGAAACUAAAAGGCCAGCCAGGUCAACUGACCAGGAUUUCAGAGAAGAAUCCUUGGCAAAAGCUAAGCCCAGAUGAAUGGGUUAUAAUCAAAGACAGCUUUGAACUUUGAUCUUUGAACUACACAGACACCAAGGAUCCAUUCCACAGGCAAACGUGAUAGCAGGACUACUCAGAUGUGAUUAAUGAGGUCUUUUGGAAUAUGACUUCGGGAUUUCUCACCUUCACAUGAGGAUUUAUGAGGCAUGUGGUAAUUGAGAAAUGUGUCUUCAUGGUGAUUCUAAAAGCAGAUGGCAUUCAUUCAUUUAUUCAUUCAGUCCACAAAUAUUUACUGAGCGUCUACGAUGUGCCAGGAGCUAAAUACAAAGAUUCACAUGGACAUAAUGGAAAAUACUUAGGCCACCUAUGUACUUGAGAAUCUCUGUUCAUGAAGAAUAACACAGUGGACACAUAUUCCUGAGAACCGUAACAAUGAAAAAUUACAAGAGCAUUGUGUGUUGGAAAAGUUGUUUGCGUUCUGUGUUUGGUGCAUACCCUGUGGCUACUACUUAGGGAACACACCAAUCAGAAAUAGACGGGAAGAACAAUCACAAGUUUAAAUUGAAUCAAGAGAGUCUUCCUGAACUCAAAUGGUUACGCUAAUAUGCAUAUUUCACUCAAUAUUUUUAUAUGUCAUAAAUUUUUUGAGGCAGUUCUAUUUUUAUAUCCUGCAUAAAUGACAGCCUCAAAAUAUAGGUCAGGGUGUUACUAACUGCUUAGAGCAAGUACACACUCAGGAAAUUUCUUUUCCUAAAGAUCUAGCUUAUGAAAGAUAGAUGAUUGGACUUUUUGAAAUUUAGAUGCAAAGUUAUAAAAUAUCUAAAAGUCUAUAUCUUAUAGAUAUAUAAGCAUUGGCUGUAAACAAUGAGGAUCUGCCUAAAAAUAAUUCAUAGCUAAAAUUUUAAGGAUUAUACAUUAACUUAGAUCUUUUAGAAAUAUCAGAUCAUAUAGCUAUAGGAUUAGAUUACCUAUAAAAAGUAAUGUUUUCCUUGUAAUUAUAAUGUCCAGAUUAAUACUGCAUUAUUUGCAAUAACAUGACUCACCUGCUUUUCCAAGUCAGAGCAUGAGACUGUGAUUUUUAUGUUAUCCGUUCAAUUUGGUAUUUUCCUUCUAAUGAAGGCACAUUCUGUGAAUGUGAACACACAUUCACUGUGUUAAUGUUCAGUGUUCUAGAAAAAGUAUGCCUAGAGCCUCACUGGUUAACUACUUGAAAAAAAAUUUAAGGGAAACCUAUGUGCUGAAGCAUAUAG
Long non-coding RNA from Zalophus californianus (California sea lion), 1737 nucleotides. RefSeq lists it as uncharacterized. The record is from RefSeq and is a predicted model, not a curated record. Lineage: Eukaryota; Metazoa; Chordata; Mammalia; Carnivora; Otariidae. The transcript has 7 exons.